This 46-nucleotide non-coding RNA is filed under the name Schistosoma curassoni. The record is from RNAcentral. Lineage: Eukaryota; Metazoa; Platyhelminthes; Trematoda; Strigeidida; Schistosomatidae.
GCGCUGCUGAGGAGUCCCAGAAGAGGACGGAACGGUCGUCCAGUGC